Phyllostomus discolor (pale spear-nosed bat) is the source of this 4622-nucleotide long non-coding RNA. RefSeq lists it as uncharacterized. The record is from RefSeq and is a predicted model, not a curated record. The transcript has 2 exons. Lineage: Eukaryota; Metazoa; Chordata; Mammalia; Chiroptera; Phyllostomidae.
AGAUGAAUAGAAACAGCCAGGACAGUCAGAGGACUUGGUCAUUGUUUACUGGAGGACGUGGAGGAGACCCAGCCUCACUCUGUUUCUGCUUCCUCAUCGACAAGAUGGGGACAUUCCCCUUGGGCUUCUCCUUCUCUCUCUGUGAGACAGGAGGCUGGGCUCUACACUGCUGACUCUGCUUCCCAGCUGUGACUCUGGGCAAGCCGCUUCAGCUCUCUGUGUCUCAGUUUCCCCAUCUGCCUCGUGGGCGUUUUACUGUCUCCAUCCUCAGCGUUGCUGUGCUCAGACGGGUGAACAGGGAAGAAGGUGUAGAUCUGGCCCAGUGUCAUCUCCCCUGGCUCCCUGAGGAAUCAGGCGUGGUGUUCCCAUGUGGCGUGCGGGGAGUGGCCUUUGGAAUCGUCUCCCUGGGGAUCUGCUUGAAGACCUUCAGUGGCUCUCCACGCGGAAAAGGGAUCAAGGACCAACCUCAGCCUCCAUCCAAACCCUCUACCACUCAUACAAUUCUUCCCACUCUCCAAGACACACCAACAACCUUCUUCAAACAAGACUUGUGCUUUCCCUCCUCAGACCUUUAGCGAUUUCUCAGUCCCAACUGCAUCUGCCGUUGUCCCUCCAGAUCUGCUCUUCCUCCAACUGUUCUCGAGAUUCGAGAAGGAUAUCUCCCCUGCACCCAGAAGCUGCAGCCUGGAAACUGGGAUGUACUACGCCCACCUCCUUUUCCCUCCCUCCCCACCUUUAUACUAGCCCCGGCCGUGAAGUUCUGUUCCCUGAGAAACCAUCCUCUGUGUCUCUCGAAUGUACCCCAGGACCGUGUGGAACAUGUGGGGACAUUAUGAAACAGCCGCACGCCUUCUCUGUUCUGGGCCCUGUUCUGACACUGGAGGCACAGGGGCGGGGCGGUCUUUACUCCCUGGGGGCGCCAGGCUGGUGAGCAGAGGCUCCUGUAACCACACGCCUGGACUUGCCUCUUCAGUCCCUUUACACUGUAAGCCUUUACACAGUAUAACACAGUGAGACCUCUAAGCACAGGCUGAAGAGAACUGGACUGGCUGAGUCACCACGGGGAAGCCCUUUCUCGAUAAGGGCCUCGUUUUGCCUUCUGCAUACUGGUAUGAAAUUGAUUUGAAGAAGGGAAAGUUCGGGGCUUUUCCAGUUCCAACAAUCUUGAAAGCGAUGUUUCUCCAGGCCAGGAAGCAGGGGGAGAAGGGAGACAGAGGCACAGCUGUUCAGACGCCCAAAGAGGAGGAGGUCCUGCUUCUGCCGGGCAAGCGCCAACUCCCUCGCCCUCACCUCUCCUCCCAAGAAGGGUGUACACCCCUUUGCAAAGCCUUGUGUAGAACAGAGAGGCUGCUGGUUAGCUCCAUCCCUAAGCCCUGCUGGGCCUUCUGACUGGCCCACAGCCGGACCUGGCUGGGGACUGGUUGCUUCUCUAACGUUGGCAAGGAAGCUGGUGUCCAGCCUGGGGAAGGAGAACUCUGGACCUCUGCCCAGUGGCUGCUGCAGCAGAGGGUUCUCGUGUUAGAUAGACUUGGGUUCGAACCCCAGAUCUGCCACUGUUCAGCUGUGAGGCUGUGGCAGUGAAUUUUGUAUACCAAUAUGACUGGUCCACAGCUUUCCCAGGCAGCCUUGGACUUGGCCUGGAAACUAACCCAUUGGCUCUGCCCGGUGUCCAGCUGGCCGACUCGCCCUGCAGAUCUUGCAACUUCCUGGCCUUCAUAAUUGUAGGAGAAACUGAAACCCGGCCCAGAGGUGUUGGAGACUUGGACCCGGCUGGCCCGGCUCUGGAGCUCCGGUGCCAGCGAGUGAAGAGGGGUUGGCUGGGAAGCUUGUGCACUAGUGGAGUGGCCUGACCUCAAAGGUCAUCACCAGGUAGUUGAGUGUGAAGCUAGGUUCCAGAGCCUCAGCACCCAACCUGUGUUCACGCUGUCUCCUCUCCCUGGAACUCCUUUUCUAGCCACCGAAUCCAAAUCCUGCCCCUUCCUGGCCCAGUGCAAGGCCUGAGCCCCACAGAGCAUGAUAACACCUGGCAGUGUUGAACGGCGGAUGGGACUGUAUUCUCACUAGACUUCUGUGAGCUCCUUACAAACUGCACUUCAUCUUGGUACCUUUGGGGCCUGAGACAGUGAACUUCCCUUUACAGUUGCCAUGGUGACCUCCUCUGAGGGCUGGAGGAACAGCAUAAACACAGAAUGUUAGAGCCCUCAGAGAUGGUCUAAUCUUCUCACUUUCUGGGAGGAGAAACUGAGGCCCAGAGAGGUUGACACUUGUUCAAGGAAGUAGUGGAGCCUAGAACCCAGGAGUCUGGACUCCCAAAAUAAUGUGGCUAGAACGUUGUUAGUGCUAGAGCCAGGAUGAGUUCAAAUCCCAGCUUCCCUAUGCUCUGGCUGUGUGACCUGGGCAAGUGACUUAACCUCUCUGAGCUUCAUUCCCUCAUUUGGGUAGAGGGGUUGUAAGGGAGCCUACCUCCCAGGGCUGUUUUGAGAAAUACCUGAAUUAGUCCUGAUAGAGCUCCCAGAAUAGAACCUGGCACCUGAUGGUUCUUCAGGAAUCCUAUCAGUUAUGACCUGUGAGACACAGUGAUGCCGGCCCUGCCCAGUAGGGCCACUGGGGUCCCCUCCACUUCCACACCCCUGCCUACAUGCCUUCCCUUCAGAGUAGCUGAGACAAAAAGGAAGUCACUGUGAUCUUGGGGUGGGGGUAAGAAUCCCCUCUUUUGGAGUCCUGGCUUGGGCUAAGAGGACUCCUCUGUAGGUCAGGGUACCCCCACCCUCACCCUGGUGCCCCACUGGCCUGAAGCCACCAAGGCCAGACUCUGAGUCGCCUGUUUCUGGCUCCCGCUGACAGGUGUGGGGAAACUGCGGACCUAGGAGGGCUCAGGCUGGAGCCAGGCCAAGGCCUCAGCCUUGAGGGCAACAGUGCAGCCCCUCACAGCCCCAGGGCUGGCCAGGACAGCAGCGGGAAUGAUAGCGCGGCAGACACCCAGAAUGUAAAGUCCUUUGUCCUUGGGGGGAAGAUGCUCCAGGGUCAGAGGGCACAAUUCUAGGACUGGCCACCCAGAAGCCUUACUAGGCUGUCCCUUUCAAGAGUCCCUGCCUAGCCCCUGCUCCUAUGAGCCCCUGACCCCCAAGUGUGAAGGCACCUAGGCUGGUGUUCAGAUCCCAGCCUGACCGGGAGGUGGUGGCCAAGCUACUCCACUCCUGCGAGCUCGCUUUCUCGCCUGUGCAAUGGGGAUAAUGAUGCCUUCUUCAGAAUUAGCCAGAAUCUUGUAUCACACGUCAGCUCCUCACCCAGUAGGUGCUCUCUUGGCUGGGCCAUUGCCAGGGCAGCAAGGGUCAGGACUGAGGCACGAUUCCUUUGGAAGUUUGCCAAGCUCUGACCUUAGCCAUCCACGACAGAAGUCAGGCCUUCUGAUCCACCGGGACUCCCAAAACCUGGGCUCGGUCCAGGUUCCGCCCCUCACUAGGCAGCCUAUUAUGUGUCACUCACAUCCUAUGAUCCUGUUUCUCAUCUGCAGACUAGGCACACUAAACCUACAGUGUUUACUGAUUCAGCAAAUUUAUUCUUGUCUGUGUCCUGGGCCCUGGGGACCCAGGAACAAAGAUGCAUGAGACAGCACCUGCCUUCAAGGACCUCCACUGCAGGAGGGGAGGCAUAUAAAACCGGAGACACGUGCGUGGAGAGCCGUAAGAACAGAGCAGGGAGUAGUCAGCUUAGCGCAGGCGGGCAGAGGGAGGCUUCAGAGGGGGGAACAUCUAAGCAACCAAGGCAAGUCACUGGGGACAGUUUUUGUGUCAAAUAAAUGUUUGAAAAACUGGGCUGCCUUUACCUGCUGGGCUACUACCGGAAUCCUUCCUGUUCCUGUGGAAAACAAAGAAAUGCCCUAGAAACCCAGCCCCUGGCCAAGAGUUCCUGGAAGUGGGGGUGGGGGUUGAGGGCGGGGUUUCUUUGAACUGAAGGAAUGCCGCUAGUCUCCUGGAGAGUUGGUGGCAAUGAACUUCUCUGACUUCCUUCAUUCAUUCCGUCAGAUACCAGUGCCUCCUCCUGACCCCGCGCUUCCAGAUGGGGAAGAAGGCAAGAGGCAGACGCAGACAUGGCUCCCCUUCCGGCUGAAGAGGACAAACGAAUAGUCACCACUCAGCACAGCCAUCCUGGGAGCCACUGCUGAGCGCACGUGCUCAUCCUGAAAACAUUAGCUUUUGUUUUUGCCUGUUUAAUUACGUGACACAUCAAACACAGAAAAAUUAGUAAGACCCAAGAAAAAUUUGAAAUAAAAUCUCCCUUAGUUUCACUACUCAGCUAUGACCCCAGUUUAUAGUUUCACCCACAACCUUCCAGAUGCUUUUCUAUGUACACAACCUUAAAGAACCUUAAAAAUACUAACCCCAAUGUGGGGUGGACCUUGGAGCAGAAAGAAUAAUAUUAAUGGAAGAACUGGUAAAAAACAAAUCGAACCUAGUAAUAUACCCACGUUAAUAAUCUCUCAGCUCUGACCGGUGUACCACUUACGUAAGACAUUAACCUUAGGGAAGCCAGAUGUAUACAGAAACUCUCUGUACUACUAUCCUUAGUACUUUUUUGGUAAACUUAAAAUGAUUCCAAAAUAAAAAGCUUCCUUUUAAAAA